GCGCAGCAGGCGCGAAACCUCCGCAAUACACGAAAGUGUGACGGGCCAUCCCGAGUGCCGUCCGCUGAGGACGGCUUUUCCCCAGUGUACACAGCUGGGGGAAUAAGGAGAGGGCAAGCCUGGUGUCAGCCGCCGCGGUAAUACCAGCUCUCCGAGUGGUGGGGACGCUUAUUGGGCCUAAAGCAUCCGUAGCCGGCUGGGCAAGUCCUCCGUUAAAUCCAACGAUUCAAUCGUUGGGCUGCGGGGGAUACUGUCCAGCUUGGGGGCGGGAGAGGCCGACGGUAUUCCCGGGGUAGGGGUGAAAUCCUAUAAUCCCGGGAGGACCACCAGUGGCGAAGGCUGUCGGCUAGAACGCGCCCGACGGUGAGGGAUGAAAGCUGGGGGAGCGAACCGGAUUAGAUACCCCUGUAGU
RNAcentral lists this ribosomal RNA (412 nucleotides) under uncultured microorganism. RNAcentral's name for it is "bacterial SSU rRNA". It matches the Rfam family "Archaeal small subunit ribosomal RNA", at positions 330 to 745 of the family's 1478-position model. The record is from RNAcentral.